This 207-nucleotide ribosomal RNA is filed under the name uncultured bacterium. RNAcentral's name for it is "partial 16S ribosomal RNA". It matches the Rfam family "Bacterial small subunit ribosomal RNA", at positions 568 to 774 of the family's 1533-position model. The record is from RNAcentral.
CAUGUAGGCGGUUUGUCAAGUCUGAUGUGAAAGCCCGGGGCUCAACCCCGGAAGUGCAUUGGAAACUGGCAAACUUGAGCACGGGAGAGGAAAGUGGAAUUUCGAGUGUAGGGGUGAAAUCCGUAGAUAUUCGAAGGAACACCAGUGGCGAAGGCGGCUUUCUGGACCGAUACUGACGCUGAGAUGCGAAAGCGUGGGGAGCAAACA